CAAUAGCGUAUAUUUAAGUUGUUGCAGUUAAAAAGCUCGUAGUUGGAUUUCGGGUGGGACGCAGCGGUCUCGCAUUGCGUUUGUACUGCUGCAGCCCUCCUUCUUGCCGGGGGCGGCCUCUCGGACUUCACUGUCUGGGGGUCAGAAUCGGCGAUGUUACUUUGAGUAAAUUAGAGUGUUCAAAGCAAGCUUACGCUCUGAAUAUAAUAGCAUGGGAUAACACGACAGGACUCUGGCCUAUCGUGUUGGUCUAUAGGACCAGAGUAAUGAUUAAGAGGGACAGUCGGGGGCAUUCGUAUCCCGUUGUCAGAGGUGAAAUUCUUGGAUUUACGGAAGACGAACAUCUGCGAAAGCAUUUGCCAAGGAUGUUUUCAUUGA
RNAcentral lists this ribosomal RNA (378 nucleotides) under uncultured eukaryote. Its description in RNAcentral is "partial 18S ribosomal RNA". It matches the Rfam family "Eukaryotic small subunit ribosomal RNA", at positions 592 to 976 of the family's 1831-position model. The record is from RNAcentral.